Sapajus apella (tufted capuchin) is the source of this 5459-nucleotide RNA transcript. It is a transcript of the gene named histone deacetylase 5, with no coding region annotated. The transcript is spliced from 26 exons. NCBI's taxonomy places the organism in Eukaryota, Metazoa, Chordata, Mammalia, Primates, Cebidae. The record is from RefSeq and is a predicted model, not a curated record.
GGGAGUGACGUCUCCGAAUGUUGUUGUUGGUGGCGGCGGCGAGCGGAGCCGGAGGAGCCGCCGCAAAGAUGGAGGAGCCGUCGAGGAGGCGCUGCCGCCGCUGCCGCCGCCGCUGCUGCCGCCGCCGCCCGCGAAGCCGGAGCUCGAGCCGCAGCGGGGAUGCCGUUCUGAGUGCCUGACUGCCUCGCCCCGAAGGAUGGCCUCGGAUGGGCAUUAGAGGCACGGCGGCCCCGGGCUCCCGUCCCGUCCGUCUGUCUGUUAUCGUCUGUCUCUCUUGACAUCACCGCAGCUCCACCCCCUCCCGUCCCAGCCCCCAACGCCAGCUUCCUGCGGGCCCAGAGCCGGCAUGAACUCUCCCAACGAGUCGGAUGGGAUGUCAGGCCGGGAACCAUCCUUGGAAAUCCUGCCUCGGACUUCUGUGCACCGCAUCCCUGUGACAGUGGAGGUGAAGCCGGUGCUGCCAGGAGCCAUGCCCAGCUCCAUGGGGGGUGGGGGUGGAGGCAGCCCCAGCCCUGUGGAGCUACGGGGGGCUCUGGUGGGCUCUGUGGACCCCACACUGCGGGAGCAGCAACUGCAGCAGGAGCUCCUGGCGCUCAAGCAGCAGCAGCAGCUGCAGAAGCAGCUCCUGUUCGCUGAGUUCCAGAAACAGCAUGACCACCUGACAAGGCAGCAUGAGGUCCAGCUGCAGAAGCACCUCAAGCAGCAGCAGGAGAUGCUGGCAGCCAAACAGCAGCAGGAGAUGCUGGCAGCCAAGCGGCAGCAGGAGCUGGAGCAGCAACGGCAGCGGGAGCAGCAGCGGCAGGAAGAGCUGGAGAAGCAGCGGCUGGAGCAGCAGCUGCUCAUCCUGCGGAACAAGGAGAAGAGCAAAGAGAGUGCCAUUGCCAGCACUGAGGUAAAGCUGAGGCUCCAGGAAUUCCUCUUGUCGAAGUCAAAGGAGCCCACACCAGGCGGCCUCAACCAUUCCCUCCCACAGCACCCCAAAUGCUGGGGAGCCCACCAUGCUUCUUUGGACCAGAGUUCUCCUCCCCAGAGCGGCCCUCCUGGGACGCCUCCCUCCUACAAACUGCCUUUGCCUGGGCCCUAUGACAGUCGAGACGACUUCCCCCUCCGCAAGACAGCCUCUGAACCCAACUUGAAAGUGCGUUCAAGGCUAAAACAGAAGGUGGCAGAGCGAAGAAGCAGUCCCCUCCUACGUCGUAAGGAUGGGACUGUUAUUAGCACCUUUAAGAAGAGAGCUGUUGAGAUCACAGGUGCUGGGCCUGGGGCGUCGUCCGUGUGUAACAGCGCACCAGGCUCCGGCCCCAGCUCUCCCAACAGCUCCCACAGCACCAUCGCUGAGAAUGGCUUUACUGGCUCAGUCCCCAACAUCCCUACCGAGAUGCUCCCCCAGCACCGAGCCCUCCCUCUGGACAGCUCCCCCAACCAGUUCAGCCUCUACACAUCUCCCUCUCUGCCUAACAUCUCCCUAGGGCUGCAGGCCACGGUCACUGUCACCAACUCGCACCUCACCGCCUCCCCGAAGCUGUCGACGCAGCAGGAGGCCGAGAGGCAGGCCCUCCAGUCCCUGCGGCAGGGUGGCAUGCUGACCGGCAAGUUCAUGAGCACAUCCUCUAUCCCUGGCUGCCUGCUGGGUGUGGCACUGGAGGGCGACGGGAGCCCCCAUGGACAUGCCUCCCUGCUGCAGCACGUGCUACUGCUGGAGCAGGCCCGGCAGCAGAGCACCCUCAUUGCUGUGCCGCUCCACGGGCAGUCCCCACUAGUGACGGGUGAACGUGUGGCCACCAGCAUGCGGACAGUGGGCAAGCUCCCACGGCAUCGGCCCCUGAGCCGCACUCAGUCCUCACCGCUGCCGCAGAGUCCCCAGGCCCUGCAGCAGCUGGUCAUGCAACAACAGCACCAGCAGUUCCUGGAGAAGCAGAAGCAGCAGCAGCUGCAGCUGGGCAAGAUUCUCACCAAAACAGGGGAGCUGCCCAGGCAGCCCACCACCCACCCUGAGGAAACAGAGGAGGAGCUGACGGAGCAGCAGGAGGCCUUGCUGGGGGAGGGAACCCUGACCAUGCCCCGGGAGGGCUCCACAGAGAGUGAGAGCACACAGGAAGACCUGGAGGAGGAGGAGGAGGAGGAAGAGGAUGGGGAGGAGGAGGAUUGCAUCCAGGUCAAGGACGAGGAGGGCGAGAGUGGUGCUGAGGAGGGGCCCAACUCGGAGGAGCCCAGUGCUGGUUACAAAAAGCUAUUUUCAGAUGCCCAGCAGCUGCAGCCACUGCAGGUGUACCAGGCGCCCCUCAGCCUGGCCACUGUGCCUCACCAGGCCCUGGGCCGCACCCAGUCCUCCCCUGCUGCCCCUGGGGGCAUGAAGAGCCCUCCAGACCAGCCCGUGAAACACCUCUUCACCACAGGUGUGGUCUACGACACGUUCAUGCUAAAGCACCAGUGCAUGUGCGGAAACACACAUGUGCACCCUGAACAUGCUGGCCGGAUCCAGAGCAUCUGGUCCCGGCUGCAGGAGACAGGCCUGCUUAGCAAGUGCGAGCGGAUCCGGGGUCGCAAAGCUACGUUAGACGAGAUCCAGGCAGUGCACUCUGAAUACCACACCCUGCUCUACGGCACCAGCCCCCUCAACCGGCAGAAGUUGGACAGCAAGAAGUUGCUCGGCCCCAUCAGCCAGAAGAUGUAUGCCGUGCUGCCUUGUGGAGGCAUCGGGGUGGACAGCGACACUGUGUGGAACGAGAUGCACUCCUCCAGUGCUGUGCGCAUGGCGGUGGGCUGCCUGCUGGAGCUGGCCUUCAAGGUGGCUGCGGGAGAGCUCAAGAAUGGAUUUGCCAUCAUCCGGCCCCCAGGACACCACGCCGAGGAGUCCACAGCCAUGGGAUUCUGCUUUUUCAACUCCGUAGCCAUCACAGCGAAACUCCUACAACAGAAGUUGAACGUGGGCAAGGUCCUCAUCGUGGACUGGGACAUUCACCAUGGCAAUGGCACCCAGCAGGCAUUCUACAACGACCCCUCUGUGCUCUACAUCUCUCUGCAUCGCUAUGACAACGGGAACUUCUUUCCAGGCUCUGGGGCUCCUGAAGAGGUUGGUGGAGGGCCAGGCGUGGGGUACAAUGUGAAUGUGGCAUGGACAGGAGGUGUGGACCCCCCCAUUGGAGAUGUGGAGUACCUUACAGCCUUCAGGACAGUAGUGAUGCCCAUUGCCCAUGAGUUCUCACCUGACGUGGUCCUAGUCUCUGCCGGGUUUGAUGCUGUUGAAGGACAUCUGUCUCCACUGGGUGGCUACUCUGUCACCGCCAGAUGUUUUGGCCACUUGACCAGGCAGCUGAUGACCCUGGCAGAGGGCCGGGUGGUGCUGGCCCUGGAGGGAGGCCACGACUUGACCGCCAUCUGUGAUGCCUCUGAGGCUUGUGUCUCAGCUCUGCUCAGUGUAGAGCUGCAGCCCUUGGACGAGGCAGUCUUGCAGCAAAAGCCCAACAUCAAUGCAGUGGCCACACUAGAGAAAGUCAUCGAGAUCCAGAGUGCGUGGGGAUUCAUGGAGGGGCUCGGGCGGCCAAGGGGAGCGGAGCUUGUGGGAACACCAGGACUGGAGAAGUUCAUGUGGGUGUCGUCUGCCCUCCCUCACCCCUUGCCCAUCUGUCAUCCACAGGCAAACACUGGAGCUGUGUGCAGAAGUUCGCCACUGGUCUGGGCCGUUCCCUGCGGGAAGCCCAGGCAGGUGAGACCGAGGAGGCUGAGACUGUGAGCGCCAUGGCCUUGCUGUCGGUGGGGGCUGAGCAGGUCCAGGCUGCGGCAGCCCGGGAGCACAGCCCCAGGCCGGCAGAGGAGCCCAUGGAGCAGGAGCCUGCCCUGUGACACCCUGGCCCCCGUCCCACUGGGCUUCACCAUUGUGAUUUUGUUUAUUUUUUCUAUUAAAAACAAAAAGUCACACAUUCAACAAGGUGUGCCGUGUGGGUCUCUCAGCCUUGCCCCUCCUGCUCCUCCACGCUGCCUCAGGCCCCCAGCCGUGUGGCCUCCACCUCAGCUCUAGAAGCCUGCUCCCUUCACAGGGGGUGGGGGGUGUCUUCCCAGCCCUGACCCAGGUGUCCCUCCACCCAUUUCCCUGCAUUCUGUCCUUUUCCCCCUUGGAGCCUGGGCCAGCUCAAGGUGGACACGGGACCCAGACAGUACCCUCCAGUUCUGGAGCCCCCCUGAGUGAGGAGGGAACAGGAAGUCGGUGCCUUGGUUUCAGCUGACUUGGGGGGAAAUGCCUUAAUUUCACCCUCCUCCCUUCUCCAGCCUCAGGGGGGGAUCUGGAGGGUCCACUACUAAGAUGCAGAGUGGAAGGGAGGUGGGCACCUACCCUGUGAUUCUCCACCUUUUCCCCUUCUUUCAUCCUGUCCAUCUCUGCACAGACCCCUUUCUUCCUCCUCCUUGGUCUCAGCACUGAUGGGAGGCUGGUGCCCAAGCCAUGGCUGUGGUCUGUGAGCAGGGCUGUCUUGCCUCAUACUCUUCUGGGCCUGCUUCCCCUUCCCCGGGCCGAGAAGAUGAAAAAGUGUGGGGAAGGAGAGGACUGGUUUCCUGGGUUCUCAGGGGCCAGGAGGAGCUGCAGAACCAGGCCUCCUCCCCACCUUACUUGGAUGGCCUCCCUGUCCCUCUGCUGGCACAGCCUGGGCAGGGGGAGAAGAUGGUCCCUGCAGGGGGGCUUCAGGCUGGUGAGAGCCCCCCUGCUGUCAGGACUAGCUCUCCCUAGCCAUCCAGCAUGCUGCAGGGAGAAGGGGCAGGGGCUCACUCCCUCCUGGGGCCUUUUGCUUUGGAGCCUAGGGAUGGUGAGAGUGGGGAUUCUAGAAGGGGUAAGGUCAGAACCCAGGGAUCCAGGAGUUCGUCCUCCGCUGGACCUUCCAUACCUCUUGGGCUCCCUUUGCUGGCCCCAAGCCCAAGGGAGCUAAGACCAGGAGGGGGCUGGGUGCUGCCCCUUCUCUUUCCCAGGAGCCCUGCCAGGGGCUGUGGGCCCACAAGGCUUCCAGGGAAUGUUGUCCAGCCUGUAGGAAACCAAAGAUGGGAAGUGGCUCCUAGGGGGCUGACUCUUCCUCCCUCUUCCUCCCCAGUAGCACAUAUACUUUCUCUCCUCCCAUCCCCAGGGCCCCACCAAUCUGUUUACAUAUUUAUUAUCCUAUUGGGGGCCUGAGCAGGGUUGAAGGAGCCAGGGGAGGAGCAGGAGCCCCAGCACCAUCGAUUUAUUGGUUCGUUGUUCGCUAUGUGUUGUAUGUUUUAGAUCCUCCUGGGGGAUGGGGAUGGGGCUAGGCCCAGUGUACCAGGCCUCUCUACUGAGCCCCAGGCUCCAGGCCCCUUGCCCACCCUCUCCCUGUGGCUGGUCUGGUUCUCAUGUAAACCCACUCCUUGCUUUGUCUCCCUGGAUAUGGAUUUCAGUUAAGGAUUUUGUAACCCGUUACACUGUGUCCUUGUGUAAAUAAACUUGUUUCUGGCAGUGC